Molecule: ribosomal RNA, 218 nt
Filed under: uncultured Actinomycetes bacterium
Lineage: Bacteria; Bacillati; Actinomycetota; Actinomycetes
Description: uncultured actinobacterium partial 16S ribosomal RNA
Rfam family: Bacterial small subunit ribosomal RNA
Source: RNAcentral
CACCGGAAAGCCGUGGAGACAUGGCCUCCGUAAGGCCGGUGUACAGGUGGUGCAUGGCUGUCGUCAGCUCGUGUCGUGAGAUGUUGGGUUAAGUCCCGCAACGAGCGCAACCCUUGUCCCAUGUUGCCAGCGGGUGAUGCCGGGGACUCAUGGGAAACUGCCGGGGUCAACUCGGAGGAAGGUGGGGACGACGUCAAGUCAUCAUGCCCCUUAUGUCC